This 564-nucleotide ribosomal RNA is filed under the name uncultured archaeon. RNAcentral describes it as "bacterial SSU rRNA". It matches the Rfam family "Archaeal small subunit ribosomal RNA", at positions 315 to 879 of the family's 1478-position model. The record is from RNAcentral.
CAUUCGCCCUUCGGGGUGCACCAGGCGCGAAAACUUUACACUGCGGGAAACCGCGAUAAGGGGACCCCGAGUGCCAGCACCUAGUGCUGGCUGUCCAGUUGUCCAAAUAACAACUGUUAGCAAGGGCCGGGCAAGACCGGUGCCAGCCGCCCCGGUAACACCGGCGGCCCGAGUGGUAGCCGCUAUUAUUGGGUCUAAAGGGUCUGUAGCCGGCUUGGUUAGUCUCUUGGGAAAUCCGGCAGCUUAACUGUCGGGCUUUCAGGAGAUACUGCCAGGCUCGAGACCGGGAGAGGUGAGAGGUACUUCAUGGGUAGGGGUGAAAUCUUGUAAUCCUUGAAGGACCACCAGUGGCGAAGGCGUCUCACCAGAACGGAUCUGACGGCAAGGGACGAAAGCUAGGGGCACGAACCGGAUUAGAUACCCGGGUAGUCCUAGCCGUAAACGAUACUCGCUAGGUGUCGGCCACGGUGCGACCGUGGUCGGUGCCGUAGGGAAGCCGUGAAGCGAGCCACCUGGGAAGUACGGCCGCAAGGCUGAAACUUAAAGGAAUUGGCGGGGGAGCAC